This 500-nucleotide ribosomal RNA is filed under the name uncultured bacterium. RNAcentral's name for it is "partial 16S ribosomal RNA". It matches the Rfam family "Bacterial small subunit ribosomal RNA", at positions 30 to 523 of the family's 1533-position model. The record is from RNAcentral.
AUUGAACGCUGGCGGCAUGCCUUACACAUGCAAGUCGAACGGCAGCACGGGAGCAAUCCUGGUGGCGAGUGGCGAACGGGUGAGUAAUGUAUCGGAACGUACCAUUGAGUGGGGGAUAACGUAGCGAAAGUUACGCUAAUACCGCAUAUACCCUGAGGGGGAAAGCAGGGGAUCGCAAGACCUUGUGCUCUUUGAGCGGCCGAUAUCAGAUUAGCUAGUUGGUGAGGUAAAGGCUCACCAAGGCGACGAUCUGUAGCGGGUCUGAGAGGAUGAUCCGCCACACUGGAACUGAAACACGGUCCAGACUCCUACGGGAGGCAGCAGUGGGGAAUUUUGGACAAUGGGGGCAACCCUGAUCCAGCCAUGCCGCGUGAGUGAAGAAGGCCUUCGGGUUGUAAAGCUCUUUCGGCCGGGAGGAAAUCGCAUCAGCUAAUACCUGGUGUGGAUGACAGUACCGGAAUAAGAAGCACCGGCUAACUACGUGCCAGCCGCCGCAGUAA